AAUUUUGGACAAUGGGGGAAACCCUGAUCCAGCCAUCCCGCGUGUAUGAUGAAGUCCUUCGGGUUGUAAAGUACUUUUGGCAGAGAAGAAAAGGUAUCUCCUAAUACUAGAUACUCCUUACGCUAUCUUCAGAACAAGCCCCGGCUAACUACGUGCCAGCAGCCGCGGUAAUACGUAGGGUGCAAGCGUUAAUCGGAAUUACUGGGCGUAAAGCGUGUGUAGGCGGUGCGGAAAGAAAGAUGUGAAAUCCCAGGGCUAAACCUUGGAACUGCAUUUUUAACUGCCGAGCUAGAGUAUGUCAGAGGGGGGUAGAAUUCCACGUGUAGCAGUGAAAUGCGUAGAUAUGUGGAGGAAUACCGAUGGCGAAGGCAGCCCCCUGGGAUAAUACUGACGCUCAGACACGAAAGCGUGGGGAGCAAACA
This 422-nucleotide ribosomal RNA is filed under the name uncultured bacterium. RNAcentral describes it as "partial 16S ribosomal RNA". It matches the Rfam family "Bacterial small subunit ribosomal RNA", at positions 360 to 774 of the family's 1533-position model. The record is from RNAcentral.